UGGGGAAAGGAUGAAUUCAUCAUGGCUCAGU
Molecule: non-coding RNA, 31 nt
Filed under: Rattus norvegicus (Norway rat)
Lineage: Eukaryota; Metazoa; Chordata; Mammalia; Rodentia; Muridae
Source: RNAcentral